CUGUUUUGGCACUAGAUAUAUUAAAAUUGGAACAAUGUAAAGAAGAUGAGGCCUUAUCCUUGAGCAAUGUGAUAUACAAAUCUGUGAAGUGGUCCAUGUAUUU
This 103-nucleotide small nuclear RNA is filed under the name Ursus americanus (American black bear). The record is from RNAcentral. Lineage: Eukaryota; Metazoa; Chordata; Mammalia; Carnivora; Ursidae.